GCGAGCCCGACCUGAUCCCCCCCCGUUUUCCCCCGGGACGGCGCUCCCCACCUCCCGAGUCCGGGCGGCGCUUCCCUGCGCCUCCCGAUUCGACUCCUCCGCCGCCUCCCGAGCUGCACCACCCGCCCGCCCCUCCGCCUUCCGUCCAGGCUGCGCCGCCCUCCAUCGCCUCCCCGGAUCUCCUCCGUCUGCCUCCCCGUCCAGCCACCAUCGUCUGCCUCCCUGUCCAGCACCGCUCGUCCGUCUCCCCGUCGAGCCGCUGCGCCGUCCGCGCUCGCCGGCGACCCGGACUACCUCCAGGACCUCUGCGUCGCCGAACUCAACCCCGGCAAGAUUUCCGACUUUAGCAACGCCGAUGUUGCCGUUGAUCAGUACCACCGUUUUAAGGAGGAUGUACAGCUCAUGGAAAACAUGAGAAUGGAUGCUUACCGGUUUUCGAUUGCCUGGUCGAGGAUUUUGCCAAAUGGUACCGGCCAAGUCAAUCAGGCUGGCAUCGACCACUACAACAAAGUGAUUGAUACAAUAGUAUCAAUCAGUUAAUUUAUCAAUUUCGGUGAAAUUGUCUUACCGUUCCCUUCAAAAUCACAUUAUUUUCUUUCUCUGGUUCAGGAAAUCAUUAGUUCGAUUGUUUGACAAAGUUAACAGUGGUUUACUGAAGGAAGGUAAGAAGCUAUCCGAAAGGAUACUAGACAUGCAUCGGAAAAGACAAGGCUCUCCACGGAAACGAAAAGGUCCCGUCUCGGGAACAAAGGGCAAAGACAGGUUUCGGUCAGAAGAGGCGUUUUAUGAGAAUCCUCUUCCCGACUGCAUGUGUCAACCAGGGUCUCCAGACAGCGAUGAUUCUCUUGUCAGCAUCUAAGCAACUACCCGUACACUGCAAGAGCAACUACCCGUACAUUCCUUUUUCCGGCUGCAAUUCCUGUGCAAGUAUUUGUAGUUGAAUGUAACUAGGAAACUCACUGAAGAUACAAUAAUAUGUCAUAUAAUCUUCUGUCAAUUGCCCGAGCAGAGAUGCAGUAGCCCAGUUUUUCAGUGUGGGAUUGGACUACAGUUUUUACAGUCAACAGUUUUUCAGAGCUUCUCCACUUCUUAGAAAAAUGAUAGUUCUAGCUUAGUUUCCAAAGGAACUUCGAAUGUGGUCUUUAUGUUCUGUUUGUAGUAAAGUGCUAUUGUAUUAAGAAAGAACUAUGUAUUUGGAGAAAAGUGAAAUAAACUGUAGUCCAACAAGGAGCAAA
Long non-coding RNA from Panicum virgatum (switchgrass), 1235 nucleotides. RefSeq lists it as uncharacterized. The transcript is spliced from 5 exons. Lineage: Eukaryota; Viridiplantae; Streptophyta; Magnoliopsida; Poales; Poaceae. The record is from RefSeq and is a predicted model, not a curated record.